RNAcentral lists this ribosomal RNA (515 nucleotides) under Euphausia recurva. RNAcentral describes it as "partial 16S ribosomal RNA". It matches the Rfam family "Bacterial large subunit ribosomal RNA", at positions 1819 to 2597 of the family's 2925-position model. The record is from RNAcentral. Lineage: Eukaryota; Metazoa; Arthropoda; Malacostraca; Euphausiacea; Euphausiidae.
GUCUUUAUGAUAUAUUUAUAAAGUCUGGCCUGCCCACUGAAUUUUAAAGGGCCGCGGUAUUUUGACCGUGCAAAGGUAGCAUAAUCAUUAGUCUUUUAAUUGGAGGCUUGUAUGAAUGGUUGCACAAGAAAUAAACUGUCUUAAUUUAAUUUAUUGAAUUUAACUUUUAAGUAAAAAGGCUUAAAUAAAUUAAAGUGACGAUAAGACCCUAUAAAACUUUAUAAAUUAAACUAAAAAAAAAUAUUAGUUAAUUGAAAUUUUUUAUUGUUGAAUUUAUUUUAUUGGGGCGAUACAAAUAUAAUAAGUAACUGUUUUUCAUAUUUAAAUGAUAAAUAAUCAUGAACAAUUAAAUGAUCCUUUAAUAAAGAUUGUAAGAUUAAGUUACUUUAGGGAUAACAGCGUAAUUUUCUUUGAGAGUUCAUAUCUACAAGAAAGAUUACGACCUCGAUGUUGAAUUAAAAAAUCUUUAAGGUGUAGCAGCUUUAAUAGAAGGUCUGUUCGACCUUUAAAUUUUU